GGGGAUGCAGUUGCUCCUGCUGGAGUAGCAGCUUGGCCCUGCUCUGCAGCAGCUGGCACAUUCGCCACUUGUGCUAGAGGCUGUUCGCCCUAUCCAACCAAUGAAAACAGUAAAUCAGAAACACAAAAUGUUUAAACUAAUGUUGUAAUUCAGGUAGGAAUGGUGUGUUAGACUUACAAGGCAGAUCUGUGAGUUUUCAAGUUUGGUGGAUGGAUGGUCUUCAUCCAAGUACUUAUGCCCAUUUCAUGUUAUCCAGGAAAAAGCGGAAAAUCAACUUAAGAAACUACGUCAAAACCUUGGUUUCAGGGGCCAAGGAGCAGCAAUAGCUCUUCAUCGAAGCCGGAAUCCAAAACUAAAGACAAGUGUGCUGUAAUGUAGAGAAAGCAUUUGUAUAUGAUGUAUUUCCCUCCCAUUUUUGGCCAAUUUGUUGUAAUACAUGAUAAGAACAUCACCUAAGCAAUCAUCAUUUGUGUGAAUUUCCAAUCA
This is a long non-coding RNA of Magnolia sinica, 486 nucleotides long. RefSeq lists it as uncharacterized. The transcript has 2 exons. Lineage: Eukaryota; Viridiplantae; Streptophyta; Magnoliopsida; Magnoliales; Magnoliaceae. The record is from RefSeq and is a predicted model, not a curated record.